UACGGAGGGUGCGAGCGUUAAUCGGAAUCAUUGGGUGUAAAGGGUGCGUAGGCUGGCGCCUAAGUCGGGGGUGAAAUCUUGCCGCUUAACGGUAAAAUGGCCCCCGAUACUGGGCGUCUUGAAUCUGACAGAGGUCGGUGGAAUUCGUGGUGUAGCGGUGAAAUGCAUAGAUAUCACGAAGAACUUCAGUGGCGAAGGCGGCCGGCUGGGUCAGUAUUGACGCUGAGGCACGAGAGCGUGGGGAGCGAACAGG
This 253-nucleotide unclassified non-coding RNA is filed under the name uncultured Bacteroidota bacterium. RNAcentral's name for it is "uncultured Bacteroidetes bacterium contains 16S-23S intergenic spacer region". It matches the Rfam family "Bacterial small subunit ribosomal RNA", at positions 524 to 776 of the family's 1533-position model. The record is from RNAcentral. Lineage: Bacteria; Pseudomonadati; Bacteroidota.